GCGGAGGAAAAGAAACCAACAGGGAUUCCCCUAGUAACGGCGAGUGAAGCGGGAACAGCUCAAAUUUGAAAUCUGGCCCUCGGGUCCGAGUUGUAAUUUGUAGAGGAUGCUUUUGGUGCGGUGCCUUCCGAGUUCCCUGGAACGGGACGCCUUAGAGGGUGAGAGCCCCGUACGGUUGGACGCCUAGCCUCUGUAAAGCUCCUUCGACGAGUCGAGUAGUUUGGGAAUGCUGCUCUAAAUGGGAGGUAUAUUUCUUCUAAAGCUAAAUACUGGCCAGAGACCGAUAGCGCACAAGUAGAGUGAUCGAAAGAUGAAAAGCACUUUGAAAAGAGGGUUAAAUAGCACGUGAAAUUGUUGAAAGGGAAGCGUUUAUCACCAGACUUUUUCUAGGGGGAUCAUCCGGUGUUCUCACCGGUGCACUUCCCCUGGUUGAGGCCAGCAUCGGUUUUCGGAGGGGGAUAAAAGCUUCGGGAAUGUGACUCCCUCGGGAGUGUUAUAGCCCGUUGCAUAAUACCCUUCUGGGGACCGAGGUUCGCGCAUCUGCAAGGAUGCUGGCAUAAUGGUGAUCAACGACCCGUCUUGAAACACGGACCAAGGAGUCGAACAUUUAUGCGAGUGUUUGGGUGUCAAACCCUCACGCGUAAUGAAAGUGAACGGAGGUGAGAGCCCUUACGGGUGCAUCAUCGACCGAUCCUGAUGUCUUCGGAUGGAUUUGAGUAAGAGCAUAACUGUUCGGACCCGAAAGAUGGUGAACUAUGCGUGGAUAGGGUGAAGCCAGGAGAAAUCCUGGUGGAGGCUCGCAGCGGUUCUAAC
RNAcentral lists this ribosomal RNA (813 nucleotides) under Nigrospora sp. RNAcentral's name for it is "partial large subunit ribosomal RNA". It matches the Rfam family "Eukaryotic large subunit ribosomal RNA", at positions 50 to 890 of the family's 3401-position model. Lineage: Eukaryota; Fungi; Ascomycota; Sordariomycetes; Amphisphaeriales; Apiosporaceae. The record is from RNAcentral.